Molecule: ribosomal RNA, 164 nt
Filed under: uncultured bacterium
Lineage: Bacteria
Description: partial 16S rRNA
Rfam family: Bacterial small subunit ribosomal RNA
Source: RNAcentral
UAGGGAAUCUUCCACAAUGGGCGAAAGCCUGAUGGAGCAACGCCGCGUGUGUGAUGAAGGGUUUCGGCUCGUAAAACACUGUUGUAAGAGAAGAAUGACAUUGAGAGUAACUGUUCAAUGUGUGACGGUAUCCUACCAGAAAGGAACGGCUAAAUACGUGCCAC